UUUAUUUGUAUGUCGCCAUCCACUUUUUGUCCUCACUCUCUAUCAAUCUCUUCUACAACGGUACCCUCACCUCCGUGCCUCAACUCUUCUUAUCGUUCUUCCUCUGCAUAUCGUAAUCGCUUGGUGUGAAUCGCCAAAACUAUACUUUCCGCCAUCAGGAGAAUUCCUCUAGAUUUGAUUGAGGCAUCUCUCUCGGGCGCAAGACUAUCGAUUGUAGCUGCUCUUUGUAUGAUGUUUUUAUUUGGGAUGAAAUCAUUUCUCGUAGGAGUUGAGUAAUUAUUUGGUUAUCAGUACCUCCACAUCUGUAAUUGUCUACAAAAGUUCUUAUGGGGACUUCCUUCAAGUUGUCUCGAAUAUCAGGUGUCCUUCCAGGAAAAGAGCAUAAGCAUCAGUGAGAAUCGUCUAAGUCCAUUAUAUUUUUAAGUAUCAAAUUAAUUCAUUUUCUUAUAUUAGCUUUUGGGUUUUGCUUUUUUGGUGGAUUCGGGUCCUAAUAUAUGAGUACUUCUCUUCCUAAUGUUUGCAGAAGAAGUUUCGGCAAACGGAACAUCAACACUAAGAUGAUCAUUGGAGGGAUCUUUUAUAAGUAUAUAAAAAUAAAUUAAAUUAAAUUAAAUUAAGUGAGUAUUGACAGCUCUAUCGUUCUAAUAUAGAUUCCAUUUUUGAAUUUAUACAACAUUAGUAUAAUUAAUAUGGAAUGUGAAGAAUUUUUUCAGCAUAAAAUCCGUUCACUGUGUUGUCCGGGGAUUAGCCCAUCUUUAUUUGCAACAAAUGGAUGGAGUGAACAAUCUUAAGAAGGUGUGGAGGUAAAGAGUACUGUCAUUGUCACUCAAUAAGUUCAGUAAUUUAUCUUGACUAACUUGUUUUGCCACUUCAUCGAACAUAAGUGAAAUAGUAGAGCCAAUAGAAUAAUUGACAUGUAGCUCCAACGGAACCUAAUUGAAGGACAAUAAGAUUGGAAAUCAAAUAAAGUAAUUUUGAAAAUGUUAGAUUGUGAAGUAUCUUGUUAGAUAGGUAUAGUUUCGGUGCGUUUGGAUUUAGAGUUAUAGUAAUUUUGAUUUUGAUUGUGAAAAAGGACAAAUGAGUUGAGAU
Punica granatum (pomegranate) is the source of this 1089-nucleotide non-coding RNA. The record is from RefSeq and is a predicted model, not a curated record. NCBI's taxonomy places the organism in Eukaryota, Viridiplantae, Streptophyta, Magnoliopsida, Myrtales, Lythraceae.